Long non-coding RNA from Sarcophilus harrisii (Tasmanian devil), 396 nucleotides. RefSeq lists it as uncharacterized. Lineage: Eukaryota; Metazoa; Chordata; Mammalia; Dasyuromorphia; Dasyuridae. The transcript is spliced from 4 exons. The record is from RefSeq and is a predicted model, not a curated record.
AGGGUGAACAGGGACAAAAGGGAGAUCCAGGACAAGAUGGCAUUCAUGGAAAAGAUGGUUUGAAAGGUGACUUGGGUCCUCCAGGUCCACGCGGUCAGAAAGGAGAAAAGGGAGAAAUAGGACCUCCAGGACCACCAACCUUAAUCGGUUCCUUAGGGCUAGAAGGUCCCCAAGGUCCACCUGGGAAAGAGGGUCAAAGGGUAAGUAAACUUUGAACAACUGGCAGGCAUUAACUAAGUCCAGUCAUUUCAUGUCCCUGAACACCAUUAAAAAUAAAACUCAAAGAUGGCAGCUGGAUAUGAGGUGAAUGUUAAGUAAUAGUACUUAGAAAUUUGAAGUUUGCCUUCAUUAAACUGAGAUUUCACAAUUUUAAAAAAUCCUUUGUGUUUUAGAGAC